RNAcentral lists this long non-coding RNA (201 nucleotides) under Lathyrus oleraceus (garden pea). RNAcentral describes it as "Pisum sativum (pea) long non-coding RNA (PSAT_LNC018294)". The record is from RNAcentral. Lineage: Eukaryota; Viridiplantae; Streptophyta; Magnoliopsida; Fabales; Fabaceae.
AAAAAUAAGGUUAACUCUGCAAAGGGGUAAAAAUGGGGUUUAUAGCUACCGGUAUGAGGGUAGAAAACCACAGACUCCGCCGGGGAAAAGAUGGAUAAUUACUGGUUACUGAGCAAUCAUUCACCUAAACUACGGGGAAGCGCAUGGAACAUCUCAAGAAGCCAAAUCUAGGAACAAAUUAGAGAGGCGCGAUGAAACAAG